RNAcentral lists this long non-coding RNA (219 nucleotides) under Elaeis guineensis (African oil palm). RNAcentral's name for it is "long non-coding RNA (EGUI_LNC042796)". Lineage: Eukaryota; Viridiplantae; Streptophyta; Magnoliopsida; Arecales; Arecaceae. The record is from RNAcentral.
GAUUACCUUGAUCAUAAUAAAAUAAAGAUCAAAUUCUCAAAGGUUGCUUGAAUUCGAUGCCUCACGAGGUCUGAAAGCACAGGCCCUCUACUUCGCAUGCACGUCAGGCUCUGUAGGGAAGAGGAAUGAUUCCUUUUGCACCAAUCCUUCAAAAAGGCAGCAAAAGAGAGAGAAAAUCUUGAUCUUGGAUGCGACCCUUUACGCCAAGAUCUUGGACGC